Long non-coding RNA from Oreochromis aureus, 691 nucleotides. Lineage: Eukaryota; Metazoa; Chordata; Actinopteri; Cichliformes; Cichlidae. The record is from Ensembl.
GGAAAACACCUCAGAAAUACCCAGAUACUUCUUGUUAAAGGAUUCAUUAAAAAUACUAGACGUGAGAAGGACAUUUAAGUUUUUUUCUAAUACCAUAGAACACAGAUCUCUCAUUUUUCCCAGCAAUGGGACAUUUAGGAUCAGUGAUAUGAGCAGGAAUGACAGUGGUAAUUACAGCCUUCAAACCUUUGAUUCAAAAGGAACGGCAUCAAACGAGCGGACCUUACGGCUGUUAAUUCAUGCUCCUGUGUCCUCCGUCCUGCUGGUCUCUGAGUGUCUGUCCCAGGGAGAGAUGAGGGUGUCCUGCUCCUCUGAGGGAGGGGACAGUCCUCAGUACAGCUGGACUCUGGAUGGACGCACACUGACAGAUGCUGAGCUCCUUUCUGGAAAUAAUGAGAGUAACAUCAUCACACUGAAACAGCACGUCUCAGGACGUCUGGUCUGCUCAGUCAGGAACAACGUCAGUAAUGCCUUCAAAGAAGAGAAAAUAUCUACCUGUGAUAACUUCUUGCUUAUAUGUGGUUUGCGAGCAGUCGCGGUAAUUCUCUUAUUAACUGGGAUUUCCAUUUACUUUGCUUGGAAGAAAAAGAGAACUGAAAAAGAUGAAGCCUCUGCUCUCUCGCAAACGACGGAAUAUCCAGAAAACUCUGUUUUGAUGGUUGAAAGGAGAAACUCUACUUCUUGCACCAAC